RNAcentral lists this ribosomal RNA (362 nucleotides) under uncultured bacterium. RNAcentral describes it as "bacterial SSU rRNA". It matches the Rfam family "Bacterial small subunit ribosomal RNA", at positions 29 to 417 of the family's 1533-position model. The record is from RNAcentral.
AGCGAACGCUGGCGGCAGGCUUAACACAUGCAAGUCGAGCGGGCGUAGCAAUACGUCAGCGGCAGACGGGUGAGUAACGCGUGGGAACGUACCUUUUGGCUCGGAACAACACAGGGAAACUUGUGCUAAUACCGGAUAAGCCCUUACGGGGAAAGAUUUAUCGCCGAAAGAUCGGCCCGCGUCUGAUUAGCUAGUUGGUGAGGUAACGGCUCACCAAGGCGACGAUCAGUAGCUGGCUGAGAGGAUGAUCAGCCACAUUGGGACUGAGACACGGCCCAAACUCCUACGGGAGGCAGCAGUGGGGAAUAUUGGACAAUGGGCGAAAGCCUGACGCAGCGACGCCGCGUGAGGGAUGACGGCCU